Molecule: ribosomal RNA, 301 nt
Filed under: uncultured bacterium
Lineage: Bacteria
Description: partial 16S ribosomal RNA
Rfam family: Bacterial small subunit ribosomal RNA
Source: RNAcentral
CAGCCGCCGCGGUAACACGAAGGGGGCUAGCGUUGUUCGGAUUAACUGGGCGUAAAGGGCGCGUAGGCGGGUUUUUAAGUCAGAGGUGAAACCCCAAGGCUCAACCUUGGAACUGCCUUUGAUACUGGAAGUCUUGAGUCCGGGAGAGGUGAGUGGAACUGCGAGUGUAGAGGUGAAAUUCGUAGAUAUUCGCAAGAACACCAGUGGCGAAGGCGGCUCACUGGCCCGGUACUGACGCUGAGGCGCGAAAACGUGGGGAGCAAACAGGAUUAGAUACCCCAGUAGUCCCUGUCUCUUAUAC